UACGAGGGGGGCGAGCGUUGUUCGGAAUUAUUGGGCGUAAAGGGUGCGUAGGCGGUUCGGUAAGUUUCGUGUGAAAUCUUCGGGCUCAACUCGAAGCCUGCACGAGAUACUGCCGGGCUUGAGUGUGGGAGAGGAGACUGGAAUUUACGGUGUAGCGGUGAAAUGCGUAGAUAUCGUAAGGAAGACCAGUGGCGAAGGCGGGUCUCUGGACAGUUCCUGACGCUGAGGCACGAAGGCCAGGGGAGCAAACGGG
This 253-nucleotide ribosomal RNA is filed under the name uncultured bacterium. RNAcentral describes it as "partial 16S ribosomal RNA". It matches the Rfam family "Bacterial small subunit ribosomal RNA", at positions 524 to 776 of the family's 1533-position model. The record is from RNAcentral.